This 220-nucleotide long non-coding RNA is filed under the name Capsicum annuum. RNAcentral describes it as "long non-coding RNA (CANN_LNC018183)". The record is from RNAcentral. Lineage: Eukaryota; Viridiplantae; Streptophyta; Magnoliopsida; Solanales; Solanaceae.
GCAUGACCAAGAUCAGAAGUUAAGGACAAGAUACAUUGAAUAUUUUUUAAUAAUGUUGAUAAAUAAAAACAAUAUUGUGAAUGGAGACUAAAAAUAUCAGACCGACAAGUAGUUCUAGGAAUACCGUUAAACAUAAGAUUAUAAAUUGCGUGUAUAUAACGAAUAAAGGCAUCAGAAGAAGGAAAACUAAAAGACAAACAACCCACAGCUACCAUUUUAG